GUAGGUGAACCUGCGGAAGGAUCAUUAACACGUAUCCAACGUUAAACAACCCUGUGAACCUUGAACGUGCUCUCGUACACGCUCUAGCAGCAAUCCCUGGUAAAUCAUUGUUGACAAAUCUGGGACUUCUGCUAGAAAACCAUACGAUACGAGCGCCAGAGUAAGUGCGGCCUGGCAUCCUAGCAAUCUGUCAGUGGUUGCGCAAGGAUGGCGCAGUAAACGAUCGCUGUAGGCCCACACGGCCGGCGACCGGGCCUCUGUGCUUCGGCACCUAAUGACACCAGUUUUCUAACCCGGUGCGCUGUAACAACUGCACCACAAACUCGAACAACUGUUAACAAUGGAUAUCUUGGUUCUU
This 358-nucleotide unclassified non-coding RNA is filed under the name rhizosphere metagenome. RNAcentral describes it as "partial ribosomal RNA internal transcribed spacer region". The record is from RNAcentral.